UACAGAGGGUGCUAGCGUUGUUCGGAAUUAUUGGGCGUAAAGGGCGCGUAGGCGGUUUCGCAUGUCCGAUGUGAAAGCCCACCUCUUAAAGGUGGAAUUGCAUCGGAAACUGCGAGACUAGAGUGCCGGAGAGGGUGGUGGAAUUCCUGGUGUAGAGGUGAAAUUCGUAGAUAUCAGGAGGAACACCGGUGGCGAAGGCGGCCACCUGGACGGUUACUGACGCUGAGGCGCGAAAGCGUGGGGAGCAAAC
Molecule: ribosomal RNA, 250 nt
Filed under: uncultured bacterium
Lineage: Bacteria
Description: partial 16S ribosomal RNA
Rfam family: Bacterial small subunit ribosomal RNA
Source: RNAcentral